GAUGAAGAACGCAGCGAAAUGCGAUAAGUAAUGUGAAUUGCAGAAUUCAGUGAAUCAUCGAAUCUUUGAACGCACAUUGCGCCCGCCAGUAUUCUGGCGGGCAUGCCUGUUCGAGCGUCAUUUCAACCAUCAAGCCCCCGGCUUGUGUUGGGGACCUGCGGCUGCCGCAGGCCCUGAAAAGCAGUGGCGGGCUCGCUGUCACACCGAGCGUAGUGGCAUACAUCUCGCUCUGGGCGUGCUGCGGGUUCCGGCCGUUAAACCACCUUCAUAACCCAAGGUUGACCUCGGAUCAGGUAGGAAGACCCGCUGAACUUAAGCAUAUCAAUAAGCGGAGGA
RNAcentral lists this unclassified non-coding RNA (336 nucleotides) under soil metagenome. Its description in RNAcentral is "partial contains 5.8S ribosomal RNA, internal transcribed spacer 2, and large subunit ribosomal RNA". The stretch from base 1 to 120 matches the Rfam family "5.8S ribosomal RNA", at positions 35 to 154 of the family's 154-position model. The record is from RNAcentral.